GGCGUUAUAGCUCAGUUGGGAGAGCAGCAGACUGAAGACGAUCACCCACAGUGUUCUGCAAUCUGAAGGUUCGGUGUUUGACCCACCGUAAUGCCA
Mycena rosella is the source of this 96-nucleotide non-coding RNA. NCBI's taxonomy places the organism in Eukaryota, Fungi, Basidiomycota, Agaricomycetes, Agaricales, Mycenaceae. The record is from the annotation of a GenBank genome assembly.